Non-coding RNA from Equus caballus (horse), 10403 nucleotides. Lineage: Eukaryota; Metazoa; Chordata; Mammalia; Perissodactyla; Equidae. The record is from RefSeq and is a predicted model, not a curated record.
GUAUAUGUGUGUGUAUAUAUAAACAUUUAAAAACACAUUUAUAGUGUAAAUUUGUAUGUAUAUGUUUAUAAAUGUAUGACUAUGUAUAUUUAGCUAGAUUCCCUCCAAGUGUAUGUGACCCUUGCGUAUAGGCUGGCAUCCUCAUUUUAAGCAUCCCAUUUCCUAGGUGGAUCUGGAUAAGCUGGGACUCUUAGCUUGCAAGCACUACAUACCACCGUGGCUAAUUUGGGAACACAGAUAUGUAUCUACCUGUUUAUCUCUCUCUCUAUGAACAAAUUCCAGCUGUGUUCUUUGGCAUUUGGAGGGCAAAUCACUUUAGCAGACAUCUCUUCUUGCUGGCCUGGCUUCCUUUUCCCUUCUCUUGGUAUCUGCACCCCUGUUUUUCUACCUAUGGAUCUUUCAGUAUCUGUAAGGGAUAUGAGGUGAGCUCAUAGGCUAGAAAGGAGAGCUGAGCAACUGGCCUCACCCAGGGACAGGAGCCAGAGCCGCUCUGGGAUCCAGGCAUCAGGAGCUAAGGGUGAGCUUGGUCACGUUGUCUCCAUCAGGAUGCAUCAGCUCCUGCUGGUUUUGGCCUUUGGAUCUCUCUGCUCAGGAGAGAGGGUCUGGCUGGCUCCGAGCCCCAACUUGGCUAGGGCUGAGCGGAGCACGUUGAUUGACGAGACCAGGCUGUGUGCACUUGGGAGGAGCAGAACUCCCCAAAGAAGAGCAGGGGUGCUGAUACCAAGAGGAGAGGGAAGGGCAGAAACCGUAGAUGUGCCAGAUGCCGCUGCUGGGAUUUGUCAUCCCCUGAGGUGUAUCCUCCUUACCUCCUGGAGAGAGAGGUCAGGAGCAGAUGGGUUGCUGAGACCCUGAUCCCGCAGCUCUGGUCUGCGCAGCCGCCACUGUGCGGGAGAGUCAGCAGCCCCGGUGUUCCUCUGAUCAGCUCAGCGCCUGGCUGUGCCAUCUGGGGAUGUCUGAGUUGCUCAGGGGUGGGUUUUCCAGGUUCCCUAGAGCCAGGGCGCCCUUGGGGGCAUCUGCCAGCCAAACACGCUCACAGAUCCUGGUCUGUCAGCCCCUCUCCACGCCCAUCCCAGUCCCUGCCAUCGUGUCUGCCGCAGGCCACCUGGUGCUCUAGGUGUGUGCUGGGCAGCGCCGUGGCCUCUUUUCAGCCUUGCUUUGGAGUUUCUUGAUGUUCCUCGGUCCUGAGUCUCUGAAUUCGCAAAAAUGUGUUCUUAGUGACCCAGCAGUGGGUCCUGAGGUGUCCCGUGGUUCACUAACCCCGUGCUGCCCGGUGCUCUCAAGGAGCUUGCAGUCUAGUUGGGGAGAGCCAAGUGCUGCCAUGAAAGUGUUCAGGAGGGCAGCGUAGCCUACCAGAGAGAGCCCGCGUAUGCAGUCGGCCAGACCAGGGCGAGUGCGUUUUACAGACGUCCUUAAAGGCCGAUCCUUGAGUCCCUCAUCCUACCUCGUGAGGCAGCGGCGGCUUAGAUGAAUGACUGAUGUCAGGGUUCCUAGGCACCGCCUCUUGCACGUAGUAGGCCUGCAUAAACAGGGUUUUAUUACAUCAUCCAGCGUGUUUGCCUUGGUUUCCAGGAAGUGUGGGCUCUGGGAGCACCAGCGGCUCAGGGUGGGCCUGGGGGACAGGGAAGGCUCCGUGCAAGAGGUGGGACUUGAGCAGUCCUGGACAGAGGGAUGGGUUUUAGCCAUGCGGGAAGGACAAGGGACAGCCUUCCAGGCCCGACUGAGCAAGGUGGGGAGGCGUGUUGAGAAGGGGGAGCCUGAGGGCAGCAGGACGAGAACCAUGGGCAGGACCUCACACUCACGUGGGCUGCUGCUAUGUGUGCAGCCCCGAGGAGUGAGAUGAGCGCGGAGGAGGAGGGCCUCUGACCCGAUGCACCUUGGGGUGGGCCUCUCUGGGCUGGAAGGGGAGCGUGCACUGAGCACCUGCCAUGUCCCGGCACGGUGCUGAGUGCUCUCGUGACCGUGGAGGGUGGUGUCGGGACGCCCGUCCACCCUACCAGCUGUCUCUGAGCAGAGCAGGCUUUACAGAGGAGGCAGGCUCUCGGGGAUUGUUAGGAGGGCAGGAGGGGGGCUCAAGGACAGGAGGACGAGUGUUUAGCGGGGGAGAAGGCAGGGAAGGGGGAGGAGGACAGUCAGGCGAAGGGGUUCUGGAUGAGCAGAGGGCAUGCGGAGGUGGAGGCAGGACAAAGAAGGGGUUCUUGGAAGCCAGAGAAAGGGCCUAGUGCUACUGUCUGGGACCAGAUUGUGGUGGGCAAGGAAUUGCUUCAGUAGACGGCCUGCUGGCUGGAGAAGACCCCUUUAAUGGUGGUACUUGCCAUCACCCCUGGUGGAGCAUUGAGACUGCCGGGCGGGCGGAAGGUCUGAGUAGCCCCUGAGGUUUGGAGAAGGUGGUGAAUGUGACCUGUGCUGGCAGACGCAACCUUCUGUUUGUAGGGCAUCGAAGGAAGUGGCAGUGGGUGCAGGAAGGAUCCUGAGCCUUCCGUGCUCCCUAGAGUGAGCAUCGGCCCCCAGUGUGUCUCUCUGGAAGAUCAGAUGUGUCCUGAGGCCUGACUGGGCCCCUGUCUGCUCAGGGCAGCUUCCCCUGCCUGUGGGCUGGAGCUCGGACCUAAAUCAGAGUGACAGCUUGUCAGGCUGAUGAGCUGGGCUCUGGGCGAGAGCUCUGUGAUGUCUGAGCCAUUUAGGACACCACCGUGACUGGGCCUGGGGUCCUGGGGCCCCGUGGGGAGGAGGUUGGGGACCCUCAGGAGGGCCGGGGUGGGGGUGAAGGAAUGUUGAUGCAGUGGGAAGAGCUGAGCACACAAGGUGCUUGAUUUGUUACCAUUUAUGGCAGCCAAAGAGAACGGCAUAGGCCCCCCUCUUCCCUCCCCCUCGGGCCCCCCUUGUCUGCCCCUUUCUCAGCCUGCCUGAUGGGAGGAGGGGAGUCUGUGUGAAAAGUGCAUGUUUCACAGAAAGCCACUCCCUCCCUCUGAAGAGGGCUUGGGUCUGACUCAGGAGCUGGGGGAGGAAGAGUGACAAGAUGCUCAGCAUCCCUCAUUUGUUUUCUCUCUUCUCUUGGAUUGAGGCACCUCACAACUUGGGGUUUGGCGGGGCAGGGUCAGCUGGACAGCCCCUCCGGCAGCCUGAGGAAUCCUGGUGUGCCCAGCCACGUAUCCUCCAUUUCCUCCCUGUUUCUUGAAGUGCAGGAGUCCUGCCUCUCAUGUAAGACAAGCGCCAGUUAUCUCUCAGCUGUGCUUGGGAUCAAGGUGGCAGAGUGGGAAAGAGCAGGGGAUGGGGCACAGAGACCCGAGAUCUGGUCCCAGCUGGGUUGCUGACUGGCUGUGUGACCCUGGACAAGUUACUUCCCCUCUCUGGGUCUUAAGUUUCUAUUUCUGGACAAUGAUAGACUUGGAUCAGCUCCUCUCUGAGGUUCCUUCAGGCUCUCACAUCCUGUGCUUUUAUACAUUUCUUUUGCUCCCUUUGUUUUCAAAGAGCUGACUAUUCUUUAGAAACUUUAUCUUCCUCUUCCUCCUAGUAGCCUUGGUAGAAUGAGGGACCAGGGGUGAUUCCAUUACGUCUCAUAAGUUGGCAAACGGAGGCAGGCGAGAGGGAGGGAGGACCCAUUGGGCAGGACGGGUAUGUCGUCAGUGUGCCGGAACUUGCUGCCAGAACCUCACGGAACUGCCCGGAUUCUGCUGCCUGGAGGCUCACAGGCGGAGCAGCAGCAGCUCCGGGCACAGGAGCCCUUGGGUUCCAGGCUGGACGUUCCCCAGUGGGCUUUGACUCCGUGGACCUCAGAUUCCUUGCUCAGUGGCAGGGAGAGAAUCUUCCCUGUUACCCCAUUUCCCACGUUCGGGCAGGACGAGGUGGAAGUCGUGGCUGGGGUCUCAGCCACAGUGGUAGGUCGGUGUCCUGUUCCCGUCACCACACCCCCUCCCGCCCCGCCCUACCCCCGGCUGGGAGGGCUGUCACCCCCUCAGCAGGGAAUGAGGAGGCGGGCUGCUUUAUUAAGCACCCACUAGGAGGAGUGCGGAGCACGUACCUUGUUUGACACACAGAACUGUCGUGGCUCCCCUCCUAUUGUUAGACGCUUUAAUUGCGAUUGUUCCAAUUCCGCCCUCCAGCAUUCAUCAUUAGGAAGAGCCUUCUUUUUCCUUCCUACUUCCCCCACCCCCUCCACAGUGUCUUUGCUGUUCCCUCGCAUCACUGUGCCUCCCACCUCUGUCUCUCCCGGCUCUCCCGCUUCACCUCCCGCUUCUAUGGGGCAGCCCCAGCCGCCUCCCGCUCCCUGCCCCUGGCUGGGACUCCCAGCUGCCUCCCCACCCAGACUCAGGGCUCCAAGCUCCCCGUUCAGUGGGUCUCCAUGGUGGAUUCCGGGAGCUGCCCUGGCCCUCAGCAUGGUUGUGAGGACCCACAUUGAGGGGUGUCGUCCACUGGAAAGCACGGCGCAUGUGCAGGGCGGUGUUUGUCACCCCCGGAUCUCCACUGUUGCGGCUGCGUCCUCCUUUUCUCCUAGGGCCCCUGCCUCUGUCCUUUUUCCAACUCUGUCAGGACCCUGGCGAGCGAGGAAAGAGCCUCGACCAGGAGCGUGGGUCCCCUCGCAGCUCUGCUAUGGCUGCCCCAUUAGGGCCUUUGACUUGAGUUUCCAUCUGUAAAAUGGCAGUGAGCCUUGGCACUGGGCUGCCAACCUGGGAGAGUUGUCGGGAGGGUGCGUUGACGGUGUUCAUGAGAGUUCUCUGAGGUCUGUAAAAGGUGGUGCUGGUAGAAAUUGGGUUCACUGUCUUGUUUUUCCUCCCGUGACUUCCUGUUGUCCUCUCUGUUUGGUUCUGCCACCACCUUUCCGCCUUCCUGUUUCCAAGGGGGCCAUGAGGCCGCAUGGUGGUUUUUCUCCAGUCUUUCUCCAGUCAGGCAGCCAGCGUAAGUGUGUGACUAAGGAUGGGAUUAAGACGGGCACCCGCAGGGGCUGACCCUCGGCAAGCUGCUCGUGGCUGUCCAAGAAGUGCCGUGACGGGAGGGUGGUCCCUGCUUUACCUCCGCAGUCCCUUCCAGGGUUCCCGAGGUUCUGCGGGGGCUCGGAGUGGAGAGAGUGGUUUGGCCUGGUCAGAACUACAAAUGCCCCUACAGAUUCAUCUAGGACUUCUCUCUCUGGCUUGUUUAGGCUCGUUCCUUCUGUCAGGAGGUUUGCAAGAUGUCCCAGGAUCACAGAGAGCCGGCUCCAUUGUCCCAGUGGGUGAUGCAUCUGACCCACUGUGUACCCAUCCAUCGCCCUGCCCUCCCUCAGGGUGGCUCUGGCCUCAGCUUCCUCCCAGAGUCCUGUGCUGGGAGUAAGGUCAGGCCUUGCCCCACCUGGCCUGGGGCUGGUCUCCAAGCUUGUAAGUCUGGCACUUUGAUUGACAGGAGUUUGAGCAAAUUUGCUUGCUUGGGGUUUAUCUGCCCUGUGGGGAUAGUCGCCAGCCCGGCAUGCUGUGAAAAGUCGAUGGUUUCUGCUCCGACCGUGGAGAUCUGGAAGUAGAUUUGGAGGCAGAGCUCCCACAGGUGCCUGCAUCACUGUAAAUCCACACUGAGGACAGCGGGAGGUCCUUUCCUUCCCCCAGAGACGUCCACACCCACCCUGGGCACGCGGACUGGUUUAGGGGAGGCUGUCUGGGGGCGGGGGUGCGAUGGGGUGAGCUGGAAGGCUUUUCCAGCUUCAGCUCUCCCUGUGACCAGUAUUUUAUCCUGUCUCUGAGGCAACCAAAGAGCAUCUUCUGCUCAGGGAGGUUUACCAGAGGGUCAACGGCCUUAGUUUGCUUUUAGGGAGACGGAGUUCUAGAGAGAGAAGGUGUUAUGUUGAGGGUCCAGGUCACACUGGGAAUAAAUAAAGCCUGCUUGGCUGUGGUGGAACCUGCUGGAACCCCGAGUGCCCUAGUGGGCAUGGAAAGCCAUUUGUGUUAGGUGUGGGCAGGAGGUGGCCUGGCUGCCCGGUGCUGUGGAUUCCCAGGGGUUUAGCUCGUGCCCCUUCCCGGCUUCCUGAGAAGGCCAUUGUGGCCCACUUUCUCCACAGAACCACAGGCGCCUGGGGCAGGCGUGCCUCCUUUGCUGAGGCCCUGACCUCUGGCCUUUAGACACAGGCACCUGUGGCCCUUGCUGCAGGGACGCCGAGGAUCCUUCUGGGCCCUUGUGAAAUUCCAGGCCAGGACACCCACCAGGGCCCACUGUCCUGGAGGGGGCUGGGCUCCCAGAAUGGGCCUCUGAACCAUGGUUGGGCGAAGGGCUGGGGAGGAGAGAGAGUGGGGCAGAGGGCUGGGAGAGGCCUCGCAGCGGGCAGCCUGUGGCCUUGCUGCUUGAUUUCCUGGAGUUAUUUUUCCUUGUGUCUUUCUCUGUUUGACGUUCCCAAACUUUUAUUCAUGUCUCUCCCCCUGCUGGGUUCUCUUCACCUCACUGUAUUUAGGAGAUAACUGGGGAGAUGUGUCUUCCGCACCACCCCUGGCCUGAUGCCCCUUGACCUUGAAUGUGGGGGGCCGGCCUUGGAAACCCUUCUAGGAAGGCAGCCUUGGGUCCCCUGAUGGACAGGUCCACUGACUGGGUUGGGGGUGGAUGUAGGUGCAUUCUCGGUGUUGGAGAGGGAAGGAGGGAGUGGAAGCAACCCUGCCACAUCCAGUGCCCGAUUUCUCUGAUGUCUGUCUUCUGUGUCACUGAGGCGCAGUGAGGGGCCCCUGUUGGGGCGGAUGGCCUUUCAGGGGAGUGAGGGCUUCACACUGUUAUGCAGGCACAUUUUUCUCCCUUCACUUGCCCCAGGAAAUUGGAAGAGACUUCCUUUGGGAGGAGGAAAAGAAAAUCAGAACACACAGAGACUAAGUUCCUCUGGCUUCAGCUGUGUCCUGCCUGCAUCCCUGCACCCACCCUUCACCCCUGUCCCCCAGCAUCUGAUUAUCCACCCCUUCUCUUCUUCCGGAGCUUCUCUAGCUGCCUGGUUUGGAAGUGAAAGGUCAUGUGGUGGGAAGAGCCCUGGCCGCUUGCUAUUGGUGUGAACCUGACAAGGUGCUCAGCUCUCUGAGCCUUGGCUUACUCACCUGUCAAGUGGGAUCGGGAUAGCUGCCUUCUAGGAUGGUUCAAGGAGUAACUGGAAUGCUGUACGAAGAGGCUUCAGCCCACUGCAUGGCACGCAAUGGUGUGUUAGGGCCAAGUGAGGUUCGUGUGGGUGGAUGAUCCUGCUGGGGCAGCGUGGCCAUGCUCCUUGGUGGGGUGGGAUGGGGGACGUAUGUUCAGAGUUAGGGUGUGGGUGCCUGGUUCCUGUCCGUAGCCCCCACUUCCUCAGCUGGGCCUGGUUCUCUCUGGGCUUCGUUUUGGCUUUCUCUUCGUCUGCUGCUCCCACCCCUCCCCCAGCUUCCUUCAGGGCAGGAGAGGAGGACGGAUGUUCCAUGAGGGCUUUGAGAUCUCAGCAGAGAUGGGGGGAGUCGAAGGUGGGGUGUUCUAUGCUUUUAGGAUGCUCCCUAGGGGCUCAGUGUCUACACCAGAGCUGAGGCCUCUUACAGAGCUCUAAAAGCAGAGCUGGGAGGGGGCGCCGGGGGCCUGCGUCAGCCAGACCAGCCGGGGACCUGGAUGGGCAGUGACUUCCUCACCUGGCCUUGCUGGCGGGUCUAAGACAUGUCUGAGGGGAGACUGGGUGCCCCACUUAGGCCUUGGCAGAGAUGGAGUGAGAGACACAAGCAGGCCCUGAGAAGGGGGGCGAGGAGGAGGAGGAGAGGAAAAGGAAGGAGCGGCUUGGAAGGAGAGGCGCAGGGACAGCCGGUGAGGCGGGUGGAGGCAGGCAGAGCCCCCAGUAGCGGCUGCAGGGGCUGCACUGCCGGCCCCCUCCCUGCCCGCAGUGAUUAAGACAUCACCAGCUGCCUGUGUUCUGAGCUCCGUGGCUCUCUGCUGCCAGUAACAAAUGCAUCUGGCUGGAAUCUGGGUCAUUAAAAAAACAACCUGAUAUUUCUCUUCUUCCUUCACCCCCUGGCAAUCCAUGCCCUGGAAUAUAGCUGGCACCCCCAAAAAGGGCUGUGGAGGUGCAGGGAGCCAGAGUGGACGUGUUGGCUGUCAGGGCCACUCAGCUAGACAGACAGCCGCUCUUGCUGGCUGUCUGAGUUCCGUUGUUGUGAAGCAAGGGCCCUAAAUGGAGAGUGACAUGCUGGAGACGAGGGUUUACAGGUGGUUUUGCCUCCCGCCGGCUCGGGCAUGGGCAAUAUGGUGGCUGUGGUGAGCUGUGAGCGUGUGCCCCGAGUCGGGCAGCCUCAGGUUUGACUUCACGAUCUAGCAAGAUUGCCCAGCCUCUCUGGGCUCACCUUGUUUCCUCUGUGAACAGUGAUGAUGACACUCGGCCUGUGCCAGCGGUGGGGUAGUGGUUGUUGGGGGGGUGUGCAGGGCGUGUCCUUGCCCAGCUCUCCAGGAAGGGUACCCCUGCUUCACUGGUCAUGAGUACUGUCUUGUCUCUGUUGAGUAGCAUGACCCGAGGGAGCUUUGUUCACUUAACCACAGGGCCAACCUCGAUUACCCCGCCUUGGGAUGGGCACCUGACCAAGAUGGACCUUUGAGAGGAUGGAGGGAGAGUUGUCCAUGCCUCGUGCCAGGAAUGAAGGAUCAGCCAGGCAGGAGCUCUCUUAAACUGAGACCCCUUUUAAGACUAUAAAGGUUUGUACAUCUUGCUCUGGGGUUUAGGAAUACAGAUGAGUACGGAGAAAUAGAGAGAAGGUGGAAGAGAUGAUGAAAAAAGGAAUAAAUCUAGCAAGUUUCUUGGAAGAGCCCUGAGUUCUAGUUACCCACAGCACCUUCCAUUUCUGAGGGCUUACACUGUUUGGACCCUGGUCUGAGCUCUUCACCUGUGUUAUUCCUUGUCCAGCUGAUUCCAGAACCUUCCAUGCUCCUAACCACUAUGUUGCCCUUUACUGUCCCAGGCUGGUGAUGGACCAAGGAAUGUGACUUGCAGUAGAGCUCUCAGGGUUGGCAUGGUCCUGGACAUCAUCCCAAAUGCCCUCUAGCGGGUCUGGGUGGGCAGACAGCAUCUGGCUGGUAGGCUGCAGGUCCCAUGGGUGGGAACCCAUGUGGCAGGCACCUCUGCCUCAGGGGCCAAGCCUCCCUCUGUCCCUCUGGCGGCACGCAAAUAGCUCUGCAGAGGGUGGCCAAGGUGCUUUGCUAGGGGCGGGGAGCAUGUGGUGGGGCUGAGGGGCGGGUGUGCAGAAGAAUCUGAUAUUGAUGUGUUUUCCUGGGACUGACAGGAGGGCCCAAGCCCAGAGAUUUAGCCCUGCCAUCCUUGGCUGUGGGGGAUGUUCCUGCUAGGCUGGGGGGACGUCUCAAUAAGAUGUGAGACCUGCUCCCUGCCCCCAGGGGUGUGCGGCCUGCUCCUCGGCCAGCAGAGGAGCCUCCGGUGGGGAGGGCGGAGCAAAGAUGGCUGUGGUUGCUGGGUUCUGCCCUUCAAAGGACAGCCCUGCUCAUCAUAGAUCUUGGAUGUGGACACUGGCCUUUUCCUCUAAGAUGGUUCCCAGUUCUGAAGCCAUCCUUCACCCGUUGCUCUUUUCCAAAGUUGCAGAGAGAUAUUUCAAGUCACCUUUUAUGGCUCUGGGACAGGAGAGCCCUGGAGCCUCGGCAUCAGGCUGACCUUUUGCAAGUUUGCUGGCUCUUGGUGGGGUGGAGGAGGGGAGAAAAACUGUGGGACAUGGGACUAGUUCACCAUCAUGAACACGCCGUCAGGGCUUUCCAGGGCUCCCCUGAUUGCAUGGGUAGGGGAAGACAUCCUCUUGUUAGGGCCCCUCUCGGUUUCUCAGCCCAUCCUGUACUCGAUCUUUCCCUCAUUUGUCCGUUCAUUCAUUCAUUCAUUCAAAUACAUACUCAUGCUGGGAAAGACAAGCACGGGGGUACAGCACAGUCCUCAUCUUGUCAUGACUAGGUGGCCUUGACAUGCUGAGAGGUUAUUCUGUAUUGAAGGGAAUUAUUAAAGAUAUCUGAACAUCUAAUCGAAGCUUUCCUGUUGACAUCACAAAAUGUGUAGUUUAUGGAACACUGGGUGAGAAUGUGUUGGAAAGACUGUGAGCAGCUGUCUCAGGUGCUCUGUUAUAAACACAUCUCCUUAGAACUGCAUGGGGUUCUCUGCCAUCUUUUCCUGAUGAUUCUUCCAAUCAAUGUCUAUUGAACUUUUACCGUGCUCAAAGCACAGCACUGGACUUGGCCCUGCCAGGAUGCAGGAGGGAGGGGCACGGCCAUCCCUGACCUCGGAAGGGGAGGGUGUAUAGGUGAGCAUUCCUGCUUCCUGCACCAACCGCCCUGGCUCCAUCCCAGGUGGGGCCUGGUUGGCCUUGGGGUAACUUGUCUGUCCAGAGUUGGGAGUGGCAGCAGCUGGCAGGCUUGGAAGCCCUGCCGGGUUGGACUGUGAUGGUGGCAAAGAGAUGGGUAGCAAGUGCCUCCUGGGCAUUCACCAG